This 604-nucleotide small RNA is filed under the name Pongo abelii (Sumatran orangutan). Its description in RNAcentral is "processed transcript". The record is from RNAcentral. Lineage: Eukaryota; Metazoa; Chordata; Mammalia; Primates; Hominidae.
AAGAAUCUCCCGAAUGGGGUGAGUGCAGAGGCAGGACUUGGGAAUCUGAAAUGAGACCAUCCGGGAGCUGUGAGAUGAAAGAGGAGCGUUUCAGGCAGCUGUUUGCCGCCUUCGGCACGCUGACAGACUGCAGCCUGAAGUUCACCAAAGAUGGCAAGUUCCGCAAGUUUGGUUUUAUUGGCUUCAAGUCCGAGGAAGAGGCCCAGAAGGCACUGAAGCAUUUCAACAAGAGCUUCAUCGACACAUCCCGGAUCACAGUGGAGUUCUGCAAGUCAUUCGGGGACCCGGCCAAACCCAGAGCCUGGAGCAAACAUGCCCAGAAACCAAGCCAGCCCAAGCAGCCUCCAAAAGACUCUGCUACUCCAGAAAUUAAGAAAGAUGAGAAGAAGAAAAAGGUGGCAGGUCAACUGGAGAAGAAGAGGCAAGCCUCGAACCGAAGACAGCUGUGCAGAAGGAGCUGUCAGACAUGGAUUACCUGAAAUCCAAGAUGGUGAAGUCCGGGUCGUCCUCUUCCUCGGAGGAAGAGGAAAGUGAAGAUGAAGCCGUGCACUGUGAUGAAGGGAGUGAGGCUGAGGAAGAGGAUUCCCCCACCACCCCAGUCCUG